This is a non-coding RNA of Pelobates cultripes (western spadefoot toad), 98 nucleotides long. Lineage: Eukaryota; Metazoa; Chordata; Amphibia; Anura; Pelobatidae. The record is from the annotation of a GenBank genome assembly.
UACAGCCCUGUGUAUGUAUGGGUAUACAGUUAUAAAGUGUGUGUGUAUAUAUAGAUACACACACACACUUUAUAACUGUAUACCCAUACAUACACAGG